Molecule: ribosomal RNA, 300 nt
Filed under: uncultured Halorussus sp.
Lineage: Archaea; Methanobacteriati; Methanobacteriota; Halobacteria; Halobacteriales; Haladaptataceae
Description: bacterial SSU rRNA
Rfam family: Bacterial small subunit ribosomal RNA
Source: RNAcentral
GGAAACUAGGCGGCAGCGGCGGGGGGAGUGCGGAGGGGGGAAGCGUGGUCCGGAGUGAUUGGGCGUAAAGAGCGUGUAGGCGGCCAUGCAGGUCAGCUGUGAAAACUCGGGGCUCAACCUCGAGACGUCGGUGGAAACCGCAUGGCUAGAGUCCGGAAGAGGAGAGUGGAAUUCCCGGUGUAGCGGUGAAAUGCGCAGAUAUCGGGAAGAACACCUAUGGCGAAGGCAGCUCUCUGGGACGGUACUGACGCUGAGACGCGAAAGCGUGGGGAGCGAACAGGAUUAGAUACCCUUGUAGUC